RNAcentral lists this microRNA (40 nucleotides) under Macaca fascicularis (crab-eating macaque). RNAcentral's name for it is "microRNA 6891". Lineage: Eukaryota; Metazoa; Chordata; Mammalia; Primates; Cercopithecidae. The record is from RNAcentral.
UAAGAAGUGGGAUGGGGGGCCCUCACCUUCCCCUCCUUUC